GGGCUCGUAGCUCAGUUGGUAGAGCGACGGACUUUUAAUCCGUUGGUCGCAGGUUCGAGUCCUGCCGGGCUCA
RNAcentral lists this transfer RNA (73 nucleotides) under Pseudenhygromyxa salsuginis. RNAcentral's name for it is "tRNA-Lys". It matches the Rfam family "tRNA". Rfam says of the family: Transfer RNA (tRNA) molecules are approximately 80 nucleotides in length. Their secondary structure includes four short double-helical elements and three loops (D, anti-codon, and T loops). Further hydrogen bonds mediate the characteristic L-shaped molecular structure. tRNAs have two regions of fundamental functional importance: the anti-codon, which is responsible for specific mRNA codon recognition, and the 3' end, to which the tRNAs corresponding amino acid is attached (by aminoacyl-tRNA synthetases). tRNAs cope with the degeneracy of the genetic code in two manners: having more than one tRNA (with a specific anti-codon) for a particular amino acid; and 'wobble' base-pairing, i.e. permitting non-standard base-pairing at the 3rd anti-codon position. The record is from RNAcentral. RNAcentral also lists the same sequence under 1 other name. Lineage: Bacteria; Pseudomonadati; Myxococcota; Nannocystales; Nannocystaceae.